CGGAGGGUGCAAGCGUUAUCCGGAUUUACUGGGUUUAAAGGGUGUGUAGGCGGACUUUUAAGUCAGGGGUGAAAUCCCGAGGCUCAACCUCGGAACUGCCUUUGAUACUAUUCGUCUUGAAUCUUGUUGAGGUGGGCGGAACGGGUCAUGUAGCGGUGAAAUGCAUAGAUAUGACCCGGAACACCGAUUGCGAAGGCAGCCCGCUAAGCAAGCAUUGACGCUGAGGCACGAAAGCGUGGGGAUCAAACAGGAUU
This 254-nucleotide ribosomal RNA is filed under the name uncultured bacterium. RNAcentral's name for it is "partial 16S ribosomal RNA". It matches the Rfam family "Bacterial small subunit ribosomal RNA", at positions 526 to 779 of the family's 1533-position model. The record is from RNAcentral.